This 497-nucleotide ribosomal RNA is filed under the name uncultured bacterium. RNAcentral's name for it is "partial 16S ribosomal RNA". It matches the Rfam family "Bacterial small subunit ribosomal RNA", at positions 28 to 507 of the family's 1533-position model. The record is from RNAcentral.
GAUGAACGCUGGCGGCGUGCCUAAUACAUGCAAGUCGAGCGAACGGACGAGAAGCUUGCUUCUCUGAUGUUAGCGGCGGACGGGUGAGUAACACGUGGAUAACCUACCUAUAAGACUGGGAUAACUUCGGGAAACCGGAGCUAAUACCGGAUAAUAUUUUGAACCGCAUGGUUCAAAAGUGAAAGACGGUCUUGCUGUCACUUAUAGAUGGAUCCGCACUGCAUUAGCUAGUUGGUAAGGUAACGGCUUACCAAGGCAACGAUGCAUAGCCGACCUGAGAGGGUGAUCGGCCACACUGGAACUGAGACCGGGUCCAGCCUCCUACGGGGGGCACAAGGAGGGAUUCUUCGGCAAGGGGCAAAGGCCUGACGGGGCAACGCCGCGUGAGUGAGGAAGGUCUUCGGAUCGUAAAACUUUUUUAUUGGGGAAAAACAUAUGUGAAAGAAACUGUCCACAUCUGGCGGUUACCUAAUAAGAAACCCACGACAACCCCGGUC